UGGGGAAUUUUGGACAAUGGGCGAAAGCCUGAUCCAGCAAUGCCGCGUGUGUGAAGAAGGCCUUCGGGUUGUAAAGCACUUUUGUCCGGGAAAGAAAUCCUUGGCUCUAAUACAGUCGGGGGGAUGACGGUACCGGAAGAAUAAGCACCGGCUAACUACGUGCCAGCAGCCGCGGUAAUAUGUAGGGUGCAAGCGUUAAUCGGAAUUACUGGGCGUAAAGCGUGCGCAGGCGGUUUGCUAAGACCGAUGUGAAAUCCCCGGGCUCAACCUGGGAACUGCAUUGGUGACUGGCAGGCUAGAGUAUGGCAGAGGGGGGUAGAAUUCCACGUGUAGCAGUGAAAUGCGUAGAGAUGUGGAGGAAUACCGAUGGCGAAGGCAGCCCCCUGGGCCAAUACUGACGCUCAUGCACGAAAGCGUGGGGAGCAAACAGGAUUAGAUACCCUGGUAGUCCACGCCCUAAACGAUGUCAACUAGUUGUUGGGGAUUCAUUUCCUUAGUAACGUAGCUAACGCGUGAAGUUGACCGCCUGGGGAGUACGGUCGCAAGAUUAAAACUCAAAGGAAUUGACGGGG
Molecule: ribosomal RNA, 572 nt
Filed under: uncultured bacterium
Lineage: Bacteria
Description: partial 16S ribosomal RNA
Rfam family: Bacterial small subunit ribosomal RNA
Source: RNAcentral